Molecule: ribosomal RNA, 484 nt
Filed under: uncultured bacterium
Lineage: Bacteria
Description: partial 16S ribosomal RNA
Rfam family: Bacterial small subunit ribosomal RNA
Source: RNAcentral
AUUGAACGCUGGCGGCAGGCCUAACACAUGCAAGUCGAGCGGAUGAAGGGAGCUUGCUCCUGGAUUCAGCGGCGGACGGGUGAGUAAUGCCUAGGAAUCUGCCUGGUAGUGGGGGAUAACGUCCGGAAACGGGCGCUAAUACCGCAUACGUCCUGAGGGAGAAAGUGGGGGAUCUUCGGACCUCACGCUAUCAGAUGAGCCUAGGUCGGAUUAGCUAGUUGGUGGGGUAAAGGCCUACCAAGGCGACGAUCCGUAACUGGUCUGAGAGGAUGAUCAGUCACACUGGAACUGAGACACGGUCCAGACUCCUACGGGAGGCAGCAGUGGGGAAUAUUGGACGAUGGGCGAAAGCCUGAUCCAGCCAUGCCGCGUGUGUGAAGAAGGUCUUCGGAUUGUAAAGCACUUUAAGUUGGGAGGAAGAGCAGUAAGUUAAUACCUUGCUGUUUUGACGUUACCAACAGAAUAAGCACCGGCUAACUUCGUG